UCAAUGGCUAAAUUGUCCCAAUUUGGUAAGGAUGUUUAGUUUUAAGUGAUUCAAAAAUGCUUUUUUUUAAUGCUGUGCCUUUGAAAUGACAGAGUAUAUACUGAGACCACUUAGUAAGACUAAUGCUGAUACUAAAUGUUGAAACAAGGAUCAUAAACACAGAGCUCCAAGGAGGUUUCAAAUUUAACUCUCUUAGAUUUCUAAACUCUCUCAGACAUUUGACCUAUAAGCCUGGUUGUGCAAAUAGAAGUCUUUAUCACAUUUAUGUUGCCUGGGAGGCUAUUUUUAUAUGUACAAUGUGGAGGACUGAAUUUAAUAAGGGUCAAACACAAAGGGAACGAAAGUGGGAACCUAUUCUGAGGCAGUUCCCUUUGGGCUGUAUCCUGCCAUCAUCCGCCAUGUGGAACUCCCACGGAAAUCAAUGCAAGUUUAAAAUAAAUAUCAAUGGCAGGAUAUGGUCCAAAAUUAUUAAUGAAAAACCUGAAGCUGACAGGUUAAUUGUUUUCCAAUACUAUUGGCCUUAGGCAACGACUACAUGACAGAAAACCAACAUUUUGUCUGGGGACAAAUUAGUCAACACCAUUCUGAGCUGAUUAUGGUACUGGAAUGAAUUUGAAUGAAUUUAUAAAAGCAUGUUUUGAAACAACUUUUUAGUUAAUACAAUUUCUCUUGUUGAGUUCUUUUCUUCUUUCUUUAGUUUGUGAUUAAUUUUCAUCAAUAUUAAUUUUAUUGCUAUGAUUCCAAAGACUGAUUGAUAAGUAUCCCUUUGCCAUCUCUUCUCUCCUUUCUUCUCUUCCCCAAACUUGGCUUUUCAAGACUGUUUAUUAGAAGAAUAGUAGAGUUAAGCAAUUUACCCAAAGGCAUUCACUAGUUAGAAGUAGAACUGGGAUUUCAGAGUAAUUUUUGUAAUUGCAUUCUCUCAUUAGACCCAGUAUAUAAACUAUGCAGCAUUGUUUAUCACUUACUGAGCCCAAUUCCAUAUCCUCCUAAUGGGGAAGUGUGUUGUAAUGGCUCCAAAUAAUAUGUUUUGUCUUUGCUUUGGUGGGGAGCUGAGGAAAAUCACAUUAAAGUUCUUAGCAGGAAUGGCAUAUCUGUCAGUCAUUAAACAAUAAACUUUUAUUAAGUAGUUACUAUAUGCUAAGAACUGUACUAAGUUCAAUGGUUGCAGAGAAAGAUAAAAGCCUAUUCCUGACCCCAAAGAGUUAAUAACCUAACAUAAAAUCACUCUUUACAAACAAGGGCUCUUUCAGGGCUCCUACAUUCAUGCUUCUGCCCCAAAUGGCAUUCAGGGUAUAUUUCUAGGUUAAAAUACAGGAGAACACAGAGGGAGAAAGCACAUCCUCUUUUCUACCUCCGCAUUCUUCAUGGGAGAAGAAACAUAUUUCCUCCUCACAUCACCUUGUCUGGGAAUUGCAAACAUCCUUGGAUUUAAUCAUCAUUAUACCCCUUUUCUUGAAUCCUCCAUUGGUGCACAUGGACCUGCCUAUUGCUUGGUUGGGGACCUGGAGGUCAGGAAUUCCCAGUGAUGGUGACAUGCUCUAGUCUGUCAGCAUUUUCAGUCUCUUUCUUUCCUUUCCAGGCACACAAGUGGGACUAGAUUCAACUGGAAUGAUCUGCUUGUGUAAGGAUUUUCAUCACAGGAAGCUCUAGGAUCAGUAGUGAUAUCAGUACUAGUUGACUUUAAAGUAUCUUCGCAUUUCUUUCCUUGUCUCUAUCACUAUCCCUAAAUCUGCCACAUGUGCCAAAAUUCCCAAUAAAAGCUCUGAAAUUUGUAGAGCCCUAAGGGGCUUGAGUUCCCCAGCUAGAGGUUGUCUAAUUCAAUUUGGCCUUUCUUUUGGUGAGGAAACAGAGCUUCACAAAAGUUAAGUGCUCAAGAUCAUACAUGUAACUAUUGAGAUAACUAGUAUUACAAUCCAGGUCUUGUAAAUUCUAGACUGUUUCUCUUCUUUCUAAACCAUGAUCACUUUAUUUAUCUCCAGAACUGAGAUCCAGAGGGGACAAAUGGAUUGCCAAGAGUUACAGUUAUCACUUGAAAUUGCUAUCCUUUUCACAGGAUAUAGAAGAAUAUGCCUGAGCCAAAUUGAGCAUCUAGUUUAUAGUUUCUUGGAAGGGAGAUAAGAGAAGGUAGCUAAGCUUACAUUGAGGCAAUCUGAAGAAUCUAUCUCUCAGCAAGGUCCCUCCAAGUUAAGGUACAAUCCAAUUCUAAAUCCAAAAGUUGCUGAAAGACAACUAGUAGUCUUCAUGGAAAAUAUACAAUUUUCAAGAAAUCUAGAAAAUACUGCCUCCCAAGUGGUCAAAUUCAUCCUCCUCCAUUUCAUGAACAAAAAAUGGCCAAAUCAAAGUUAUCACCAUAGUAACUUUGUGUCAUCUGUUAUCAUUGUCUAUACCCUUUCUUAGACUUGGUGCCAACUCAUGGCCAUCCUUUUCCUUAAAGGGAUAUAUAAUACCAAGUGACAAAAGGGUGCCCAAAGAAAUUCACCCAGGAAUAAUAGACCUCCCUUAAGAUAAACUGUUUCAGACAAAGAAAUCUCAUUUGGCUCCUUUUCUUUCUUUGUUUCCAAAUCAGCAUAUGUAGAAUGAGCCAGCUCUCCCUGCUGUUAUCUCUUGCCUUUGGGCAAACCGAACAUGAAAAAUAAGUUGGUGUUAUCCUCAAAGCCACUGGCAAUAGCUGCUGCUUGCUGCCCCCACAGCUCAGCAGUUCUGAUUUCUUUGACAUGGUUCUAGGCACCCUGUGGAUCAACACCCAUUCCAAAUCGUAUCUCAUGAGCACCUCCUGAUAUACUUUCCUUUUGCUAGACAUCUAGAAGAUGCGUUGAUCUGAAAGAGGACCAUUAAUGAAACAUCGCUGAAAACACAAGAGAAAAGUUGUCAUUUGCUCACUUUUAUAGACUUGCAUGGACAAGUGAUUGCUCUGACCACAGACCGUUCUCCUGCGUCCCAGAUAGUUAAUCAUCUUGGCAGCAAUCCAAGUCACUGAAAAUCAAUUAGGAAUUAUAUAUUUCCUCUCCACAUGAUGACUUGAGUAGGUCCCCAUUAGAUGCAACAAAGGCUUCCUGCCCUAUAGACUCAUCACAUUAAUUGUGGAGCUCAUCAGAUUGUUCGAGGGAUUUUUCCUAUUCAAGGUGCUUUACAAGGUAAUAAUAUUAGCUGGCAUUCAUAUGUUGCUUUGAUAUUUUCAAUGGAACUGGAAGGGAUCUGAGACGUCAUCUGAUCUGACCCUACCUUUGUACAGUUAAAGAAACUGAGUCCCAGGGAUUAAAAUGAUUUGCCUAAAGGUGUCAGAAUUAGAAUAUGGAUGUAAAUAAGCCUUGAAGGCUGCUGCUCUUUUCCUUAUAUCAUGCUUCUUUGGAAGAAAGAAUACAACAAAGGAGCUUUUAUUUGUGGGACUCUAGGGUCCAAAUAGUUUUGAAAACAACCUGUUAGCAGGAAAAAUUGUGGUGCCCCACAUCAACUCUAAAAGCUGAGCAUAGAUUGAAUUUAUUAACAAGGGAACUGUUAAAGGAAGCCUGAAAUAUUUCAACAUGUUUCUACAUUUACUUUUGGUUGAAAAAUGUUGUGAUCUCAUUAUAGUUUCCUUCCCGUGCUCUCUCGAAUGAAAACUUCUACUCAAAGCA
Molecule: long non-coding RNA, 3614 nt
Organism: Monodelphis domestica (gray short-tailed opossum)
Lineage: Eukaryota; Metazoa; Chordata; Mammalia; Didelphimorphia; Didelphidae
Source: RefSeq, a predicted model, not a curated record